Molecule: RNA transcript, 1969 nt
Organism: Esox lucius (northern pike)
Lineage: Eukaryota; Metazoa; Chordata; Actinopteri; Esociformes; Esocidae
Gene: srsf2b
Gene name: serine and arginine rich splicing factor 2b
Exons: 4
Source: RefSeq, a predicted model, not a curated record
CUCAUUUGAACAAGGAGGAGCUAGGGGCAACAGCUUGUACCAACAAACGGUUGGUGCUGAGAAAAUCGUCGUAUAGAUUGAGUUAUAUAUUGUCUUUUUUUCAAGAAAACUCGACAUAUUGCAGUCAAUGAGUUUUAGUACGACUAUUUUUAAUCAAAAUUGUUAAGCGGCGAUCGCGUUUUCCAUCUAAUUUUCUAAAUCACUACGUGUUUGUUAGCUAGCUUACGUCGUUAGCUAGACUAGCCAUCUGCACGAUGAGUUACGGUAGGCCCCCGCCCGAUGUUGAGGGCAUGACUUCUCUUAAAGUGGACAAUCUGACGUAUCGAACCUCACCAGAGACCCUUCGUCGUGUUUUCGAAAAGUAUGGUAGGGUUGGAGAUGUUUACAUUCCCCGAGAUCGUUAUACUAAAGAAAGCAGAGGGUUCGCCUUUGUGCGAUUCCACGACAAGCGGGACGCAGAGGACGCAAUGGACGCGAUGGACGGUGCUGUGCUGGACGGGCGGGAACUGCGAGUUCAGAUGGCCCGCUACGGACGUCCCCCCGAUUCUCACCAUGGAGGUGGUAGCGACCGUGGAGACCGUGGUGACCGUCGACGUGGAGGUGCUCCCCGGAGGUACGGGGCUGAUAGCCGACGAAGUAGGAGUCCCAGGCGUCGCAGGCGCAGCAGAUCCCGGAGCAGGAGCCGAUCAAGGUCCCGCAGCCGCUCCCGCUACAGCCGAUCAAGGUCCCGGUCCUACUCCCGCUCCAAGUCCCGUACACCUCAAAGAGACAAGGCAAAGUCCCCGUCCAGGUCCCGCUCCAGAUCCAAGUCUCCAAAAUCCAAGUCUAAGUCCAAGUCAAAGUCCCGCUCCAGGAGCCACACCCCUGCUGACCGAGGGUCCCGCUCAAGGUCCAGAUCCAAGAGCCAGCCCAAGUCACCUGGAGAGAAUGGAGCCGAAACCCCGUAGAUGACUGAAGAAAUGGUAGGCAUUAGCUGCGGAAUCCUGUUUGCAAAAGAGGAGUUUGAGGCAGUAUGAGCAGUUAGUGAGCUGGGUGUGUGAGCUGUCCGGGCACCUGCUGCUGUUGGGGGUUGCUAUGGAGCAGGCCGGUUGCAGUCAGUGUUGGGGUGGCGUUGAGAUGACACCAAUGGGGACGUCACGUUGAAGUUACUUCAGACUGAGGACCCCGUCCAUACAAUGAUUUCUGGUGUAAAAGGUUAUUAUAGUAUCUUGAUCUGAAGGCUUUGUCUUUUUUUUUUUUGUGCCUAGAAUAGCCAUGUCUUUACGCAAUGUAAAAAAAAAAAGUACCUGAUGGUCUUUUGAGGUAAUGGGAUAAAACGAAAUGCUAUUAAAUGUACAGCAUUGGAAUUUUCAGUCUCUGAAACUGUCAUGGUGAACAUUUGAUGACAUUGCUUUUACCACUCUUAUUUUGGUUUUCAUGUGGAGAGAACAUGUUCAGGAAGUUAAUAGGGAUGGUGAAAGGCCAUUGAAGAAGUUUAAUGUGAGGCUCCAAACUCAAGGCAGGCAUUCAAAAGCUUUUAGAACGAAAAGAACCCCGCAAUGGUUUACUUGCAAGUGAACAUUGCUGUUAGGUUGGCCUUUCUAUUUCAUUGUGAUUCUAAUCUUCUCUCUUGUAUUUUUUGUGCACUAGGCGCAGUUGUGUAGCAGUUGCGUAUUGCUGGUUAGCUGUUAAGGUGGCGUGUUGCAGUGCUUGGCUGUUUCCAGUGUUCUCCAGAAUACUCCUGUGCCUACCAUGCUGUGGUGGCCAACCUAAGUGGCUGCUACAAAUACACCAUCGGUAGAAUGCUUAUCUUCCAACACUUUUUAAAAAUGUUCUCCCAAUUUUUGGUGCACUAAUGGUGCUGUUUUUGUUCAUUCUGUCAAACAGAACACAUGCAUUCUGUCUUGCCCUUUGUGCAUUCCUCUUCCCCCCUUGCAAGAGUCUUCUCAGUCAAAUGUGAGUGCUAAUAAAGAUUUGAUGUUUUCUCUAA